UUUCAUCUGAAGGAGGUUGUCACAAUUCAAAGGCAUCCAGUCUGAAUGAUACUCAAGUCUUUCCGAUUCUUCUUCAGAUAUCUGCAAUCAUGAUUAUUUUUACUCUCCUCAGCUUUUUGUGGACGUUUAUUGGCCACACAGAGGCAGAUGCAAUAAAACCAUUGUCAGAGGAUGAAAAUAGACUUGUUGGUGACGCUGUUACUCUGUCCUGCAGUUACAAAGACUAUACGAGUACUGUACAGAAUUUACAAUGGUACAGACAAUAUCCCAGAUCCAAACCGGAGUUCCUUCUUUACAUCUUACCAAGUGGAGUUAUGAGUGAAGAUAGACCAGACAGAUUUUCUGCUAAAGUUCAUCAAGAUAUUAAACAAGUGGAUCUGGAGAUCUCCUCUGCUGAAGUGUCAGACUCUGCCGUGUAUUACUGUGCUCUGAGGCCCACAGUCACAGGAAAUCUAACAGCGUCAUACAAAAACCUCACAUGCCAUAAUAAGAUGAAGCUCUAAACACUUACUUCAUCUGCUCUUAAAUGCAAAUGCAUCAUUGCCACAUUAGUCUCUUCUUUUUCUGAAACAACUCAUAACAUAUAUAUUCACAGUUAAGGGUUCACAUCUCCCAUAUGACCGAAAUUGUGCAGCAAACAGUUUUGCCAGAAGAUAGCGCAGAAGUGAGACAGAAGAGAAGCUGUCUUUUCAUUUUGUGUGCACUAAGGCAUGCUUAUUGGUAUUGCACUAAGGAAUAAUGAGUCACCUCACAGACAAAUUUAGCUCAUACAUAAACAAAGAGUAACAAAAAAUAAUGAAAUUAAA
Pimephales promelas (fathead minnow) is the source of this 806-nucleotide non-coding RNA. NCBI's taxonomy places the organism in Eukaryota, Metazoa, Chordata, Actinopteri, Cypriniformes, Leuciscidae. The record is from the annotation of a RefSeq genome assembly.